Molecule: ribosomal RNA, 325 nt
Filed under: uncultured beta proteobacterium
Lineage: Bacteria; Pseudomonadati; Pseudomonadota; Betaproteobacteria
Description: bacterial SSU rRNA
Rfam family: Bacterial small subunit ribosomal RNA
Source: RNAcentral
ACGAUCAGUAGCUGGUCUGAGAGGACGACCAGCCACACUGGGACUGACACACGGCCCAGACUCCUACGGGAGGCAGCAGUGGGGAAUUUUGGACAAUGGGGGAAACCCUGAUCCAGCCAUGCCGCGUGAGUGAAGAAGGCCUUCGGGUUGUAAAGCUCUUUCAGCCGGAACGAAAAGGUCACGGCUAAUACCUGUGACUAAUGACGGUACCGGAAGAAGAAGCACCGGCUAACUACGUGCCAGCAGCCGCGGUAAUACGUAGGGUGCAGGCGUUAAUCGGAAUUACUGGGCGUAAAGCGUGCGCAGGCGGUUUUGUAAGUCAGAU